RNAcentral lists this long non-coding RNA (363 nucleotides) under Mytilus galloprovincialis (Mediterranean mussel). Lineage: Eukaryota; Metazoa; Mollusca; Bivalvia; Mytilida; Mytilidae. The record is from RNAcentral.
GGGGCAGCAACCCAACAACCGAUUAUCCGAUUCAUCUGAAAAUUCCAGGGCAGAUAGAUCGUGAACUGAUCAACAAUUUUACUUCCUGUCAGAUUUGCUCUUAAUGCUUUGGUUUUUGAGUUAUAAGCCAAAAACUGCAUUUUACCCCAUGUUCUAUUUUUAGCCAUGGCGGCCAUCUUGGUUUGUUGGCCGAGUUACCGGACACAUUUUUUUUAACUAGAUACCCCAAUGAUGAUUAUGGCUAAGUUUGGUUAAAUUUGGCCCAGUAGUUUCAGAGGAGAAGAUUUUUCUAAAAGAUUACUAAGAUUUACGAAAAAUGGUUAAAAAUUGACUAUAAAGGGCAAUAACUCCUAAAGUGGACAA